UACGGAGGAUCCGAGAGCGUUGUCCGGAUUUAUUGGUUUGAAAGGGUGCGUAGCGGUUUUAUAAGUCAGUGGUUAAAGACUCUCGCUCAACGAGAGGGAUGCCAUUGAUACUGUAGAACUUGAGUACUGUAGAGGUAGGCGGAAUUGGUAGUGUAGCGGUGAAAUGCAUAGAUACUACCAGGAAACACCGAUUGCGAAGGCGAGCUUACUGGAG
Molecule: ribosomal RNA, 214 nt
Filed under: uncultured bacterium
Lineage: Bacteria
Description: partial 16S ribosomal RNA
Rfam family: Bacterial small subunit ribosomal RNA
Source: RNAcentral